AUCCCUUCUCGGCCUUUUGGCUAAGAUCAAGUGUAGUAUCUGUUCUUAUCAGUGUAAUAACUUUACUGUAUAUCUUAAAGUUGCUGAGAAAGUAGAUCUUAAAAGUUUUCAUCACUCACACACAAAUUCUGUAAAUGUGGUGAUCAUUUUGCAAUACAUACAAAUAUCAAAU
This 172-nucleotide small nuclear RNA is filed under the name Lynx canadensis (Canada lynx). RNAcentral's name for it is "U2 spliceosomal RNA (ENSLCNG00005000236.1)". It matches the Rfam family "U2 spliceosomal RNA". From Rfam's summary of the family: U2 is a small nuclear RNA (snRNA) component of the spliceosome (involved in pre-mRNA splicing). Complementary binding between U2 snRNA (in an area lying towards the 5' end but 3' to hairpin I) and the branchpoint sequence (BPS) of the intron results the bulging out of an unpaired adenosine, on the BPS, which initiates a nucleophilic attack at the intronic 5' splice site, thus starting the first of two transesterification reactions that mediate splicing. Lineage: Eukaryota; Metazoa; Chordata; Mammalia; Carnivora; Felidae. The record is from Rfam by way of RNAcentral.